GGUUCCAGAAACAUAUUGGCUUUGUGAUAGUCCCCACUUUUUUAUUUCUAAUUAUCAAGUGGAUGCGUUCCUUGUCCAUGAAACUUUCAAAAUUACAGAUGAAGUUAUUUCUUUCUAAGAAAACAAGGUGACUAUGAUAUGCUUGAUCAGACUAAGGGUCAAAUCAGAACAAAUGGAGCCGGGCAGUGGUGCAAUGGAUAGCUGCCAAGCUUUGAAGUUUGAUGCUGAGGUGUCACACCGAAUACAGAUAAUGCUCAACUUGCUGGGACUUUUGCUGCGGCAGUGUGCAACAAAGG
Lolium rigidum is the source of this 296-nucleotide long non-coding RNA. RefSeq lists it as uncharacterized. NCBI's taxonomy places the organism in Eukaryota, Viridiplantae, Streptophyta, Magnoliopsida, Poales, Poaceae. The record is from RefSeq and is a predicted model, not a curated record. The transcript has 3 exons.